GACGGAAGGUGCAAGCGUUGCUCGGAAUCACUGGGCGUAAAGGGUGCGUAGGCGGCUUGGUAAGUUGGGUGUGAAAGCCCCGGGCUCAGCCCGGGAAGGGCACUCGAAACUGCCGAGCUGGAGUGCCGGAGAGGAGAGUGGAAUUCCUGGUGUAGCGGUGAAAUGCGUAGAUAUCAGGAGGAAUACCGGUGGCGAAAGCGACUCUCUGGACGGCAACUGACGCUGAGGCACGAAAGCGUGGGGAGCAAACAGG
This 253-nucleotide ribosomal RNA is filed under the name uncultured bacterium. RNAcentral's name for it is "partial 16S ribosomal RNA". It matches the Rfam family "Bacterial small subunit ribosomal RNA", at positions 524 to 776 of the family's 1533-position model. The record is from RNAcentral.